Molecule: non-coding RNA, 114 nt
Organism: Colius striatus (speckled mousebird)
Lineage: Eukaryota; Metazoa; Chordata; Aves; Coliiformes; Coliidae
Source: Rfam
GUGGGCUACGGCGACAUGUGUCCCACCACGCUGGGGGGCAAGAUCGUGGGCACGCUGUGCGCCAUCGCGGGCGUGCUGACCAUCGCUCUGCCCGUGCCCGUCAUCGUCUCCAAC